GGAAGCUUAGCUCAGCUGGGAGAGCAUCUGCCUUACAAGCAGAGGGUCACAGGUUCGAUCCCUGUAGCUUCCACCA
Molecule: transfer RNA, 76 nt
Filed under: Clostridiales bacterium
Lineage: Bacteria; Bacillati; Bacillota; Clostridia; Eubacteriales
Also listed under: 1 other name
Description: tRNA-Val
Rfam family: tRNA
About the family: Transfer RNA (tRNA) molecules are approximately 80 nucleotides in length. Their secondary structure includes four short double-helical elements and three loops (D, anti-codon, and T loops).
Source: RNAcentral